RNAcentral lists this long non-coding RNA (202 nucleotides) under Theobroma cacao (cacao). RNAcentral describes it as "long non-coding RNA (TCAC_LNC005659)". Lineage: Eukaryota; Viridiplantae; Streptophyta; Magnoliopsida; Malvales; Malvaceae. The record is from RNAcentral.
UAAUAUUUAUUUGGUACAACUCUAGUAUCUUACUCAUGAAAAUUGGUAAACCCCAUUAUUACUACUUUUUUUAUUUAUUUUUCCUAUUUAAAUGAUGAGAAUCGUCACUGUGCAAGAUAGAAAUAGCAGUCAAAGGUCCUGGCAUCUUAAAGAAUUAAACUCAAGACAAGUUCAGGGCAUCUCUAAAGUCUGAACAGAGUAU